Molecule: unclassified non-coding RNA, 326 nt
Organism: Dipodomys ordii (Ord's kangaroo rat)
Lineage: Eukaryota; Metazoa; Chordata; Mammalia; Rodentia; Heteromyidae
Gene: 7SK
Rfam family: 7SK RNA
About the family: 7SK was discovered as an abundant small nuclear RNA in the mid-70s but a possible function has only recently been suggested. Two independent studies have found that 7SK RNA binds the CDK9/cyclin T complex (known as elongation factor P-TEFb). P-TEFb activates transcription by phosphorylating the C-terminal domain of RNA polymerase II.
Source: Ensembl
GAAUGUGAGAGCCAUCUGGCUGCGACAUCUAUCACCCCAUUGAUCGCCAGGAUUGAUUCGGCUGAUCUGGCUGGUUAGGCGGUGUCCCCUUCAUCCCUCACCAUUCCAUGAGCAUUCCUCCAGAAGCUCCACGUUCGGUUGAAGAGGAUGACCAUCCCUGAUAAUGGAGGACCAGUCUUCAGUCAAGGGUAUACGAGUAGCUGCUCUCCCUUGCUAGAACCUCCAAAUAAGCUCUCAAAAGGACACACCACUGUAGACAGAUAGCACCUGGGGGUCUCUGCCACCUCAGAGAAGAAGAUUUAUAAAUCUGUUUUGAACCAGUAUUU